ACUUUUUGAUAUAUGGUCAUUUUAAUUAAUCUUAAAAAUUUGUUUUUAUUGUUACCAGUAGAUUUUUAGUUUUAUAUUUUAAUCAUAUUUCCAAUUUCCUUUUAUUUUUUAUUAUAGGAGAAAACGUUUGUCCAAAUGCAAACGGUCCCACAGAGGUUGUUAUUCCGAGACUCACAAAUGAACUCAGAUCUGAUCCUAACACAUGUUCUCCAGUGCCAUUGACAGAUAUUUCAAAUGGUAAUUUAUUCUUUACAUAUCUA
RNAcentral lists this long non-coding RNA (260 nucleotides) under Trifolium pratense (red clover). RNAcentral describes it as "long non-coding RNA (TPRA_LNC010595)". Lineage: Eukaryota; Viridiplantae; Streptophyta; Magnoliopsida; Fabales; Fabaceae. The record is from RNAcentral.